RNAcentral lists this ribosomal RNA (498 nucleotides) under uncultured bacterium. RNAcentral describes it as "partial 16S ribosomal RNA". It matches the Rfam family "Bacterial small subunit ribosomal RNA", at positions 28 to 523 of the family's 1533-position model. The record is from RNAcentral.
GAUGAACGCUGGCGGCGUGCCUAACACAUGCAAGUCGAGCGAGCGAAAUAAAAUGGAGACUUCGGUCAAAGUAUUGUGGAGCUAGCGGCGGACGGGUGAGUAACGCGUGAGUAACCUGCCCUAUACAUGGGGAAAGCCAUGGGAAACGAUGCUUAAUACCCAACAAAGCUUAAUCUAAGAAUGUAGCAAAAGCCAAAGUUCUCAGUGGUAUAGGAUGGACUCGCGUCUGAUUAGCUAGUUGGUAAGGUAAAGGCUUACCAAGGCGAUGAACAGUAGCCGACCUGAGAGGGUGAUCGGCCACAUUGGGACUGAGACACGGCCCAAACUCCUACGGGAGGCAGCAGUGGGGGAUAUUGCACAAUGGGGGAAACCCUGAUGCAGCAACGCCGCGUGAGUGAUGAAUGCCUUCGGGUAGUAAAACUCUGUCCUAGGGGAAGAAAACAAUGACGGUACCCUUGGAGGAAGCCCCGGCUAACUACGUGCCAGCCGCCGCAGUAA